UACGGAGGGUGCAAGCGUUAAUCGGAAUUACUGGGCGUAAAGCGCGCGUAGGCGGCUUAUUAAGUCGGAUGUGAAAUCCCCGAGCUCAACUUGGGAACUGCAUUCGAUACUGGUUCGCUAGAGUGUGGUAGAGGGAAGUGGAAUUCCAGGUGUAGCGUGAAUAGCGUAGAUAUCUGGGGGAACGAUCAGUGGCGAAGGCGGCUUCCUGGACCAACACUGACGCUGAGGCGCGAAAGCGUGGGGA
This 244-nucleotide ribosomal RNA is filed under the name uncultured bacterium. RNAcentral's name for it is "partial 16S ribosomal RNA". It matches the Rfam family "Bacterial small subunit ribosomal RNA", at positions 524 to 767 of the family's 1533-position model. The record is from RNAcentral.